Molecule: ribosomal RNA, 467 nt
Filed under: uncultured bacterium
Lineage: Bacteria
Description: bacterial SSU rRNA
Rfam family: Bacterial small subunit ribosomal RNA
Source: RNAcentral
GACGAACGCUGGCGGCGUGGAUUAGGCAUGCAAGUCGGACGGUAGGGCUUUAUCGUAAGAUAGAGUUUGAGAGUGGCGAACGGGUGAGUAACACGUAGGAAUCUACCCUUAAGACGGGGACAACCCAGGGAAACUUGGGCUAAUACCGGAUGAGAGUGCGAGAGAUUGCAUUUAAAAGGAUGGCGAAAGUUGUCGCUUAGGGAUGAGCCUGCGGUCUAUUAGUUAGUUGGUGAGGUAAGAGCUCACCAAGGCGACGAUCAGUAGCCGACCUGAGAGGGUAAUCGGCCACAUUGGAACUGAGACACGGUCCAAACUCCUACGGGAGGCAGCAGUGGGAAUAUUGCACAAUGGGCGAAAGCCUGAUGCAGCAACGCCGCGUGAGCGAGGAAGGCCUUUGGGUCGUAAAGCUCUGUCGAGGAGGAAGAUAAUGACGGUACUCCUCGAGGAAGCCCCGGCUAACGUACGUG